UGGGGAAUAUUGCACAAUGGGCGAAAGCCUGAUGCAGCAACGCCGCGUGAAGGAAGAAGGGCUUCGGCUCGUAAACUUCUAUCAAUAGGGAAGAAGAAAGUGACAGUACCUAAAUAAGAAGCCCCGGCUAACUACGUGCCAGCAGCCGCGGUAAUACGUAGGGGGCAAGCGUUAUCCGGAAUUACUGGGUGUAAAGGGUGAGUAGGCGGCAAGUUAAGUAAGAUGUGAAAGCCUGCGGCUUAACCGCAGGAUUGCAUUUUAAACUAAUUAGCUAGAGUACAGGAGAGGUAAGCGGAAUUCCUAGUGUAGCGGUGAAAUGCGUAGAUAUUAGGAAGAACACCGGUGGCGAAGGCGGCUUACUGGACUGAAACUGACGCUGAGGCACGAAAGCGUGGGGAGCGAACAGG
This 407-nucleotide ribosomal RNA is filed under the name uncultured bacterium. Its description in RNAcentral is "bacterial SSU rRNA". It matches the Rfam family "Bacterial small subunit ribosomal RNA", at positions 355 to 776 of the family's 1533-position model. The record is from RNAcentral.